RNAcentral lists this ribosomal RNA (405 nucleotides) under uncultured bacterium. Its description in RNAcentral is "partial 16S ribosomal RNA". It matches the Rfam family "Bacterial small subunit ribosomal RNA", at positions 28 to 526 of the family's 1533-position model. The record is from RNAcentral.
GAUGAACGCUGGCGGCGGGCCUAAUACAUGUAAGUCGAGUGAAGCGGGGACGGGUGACUAACACGUUGAUAACCUCCUAUAAGACUGGGAUAACUUCGGGAAACCUGAGCUAAACCUGAUACUUAUAGAUUGAUCCGCGCGGCAUUAGCUAGUUGGUAAGGGAACGGCUUACCAAGGCAACGAUGCAUAGCCGACCUGAGAGGGUGAACGGCCACACUGGAACUGAGACACGGUCCCGACUCCUACGGGAGGCAGCCGGAGGGAAUCUGCCGCAAUGGGCGAAAGCCUGACGGAGCCACGCCGCGUGAGUGAUGAAGGUCUUAGGAGCGUAAAACUCUGUUAUUAGGGAGGCGGUACCUAAUCAGAAAGCCCCGGCUAAAUACGUGCCAGCCGCCGCGGUAAUUC